UGCAAUUCCCUGAGAGAUGUGAACCAGUCCAGGGCCCCGCGUGGGAGCUGAAGGGGAGGGAGCCCGGGGACUACCAGGACCAGGCUGCCGAGAGCCUCCUCCUCCUGUGCCCACCCGCGACCCCUGUCCAGGGACGUUGUACCGCUACACGCUGCUGCUCUAUGGGACGGCCGAGGACAUGACAGCGCGGCCUACAGGCCCCCAGGUGACCAGCAGCGCGUGUGUGCAGCGGGACACAGAGGGGCUGUGCCAGGCGUGUGACGGCCCCGCCUACAUCCUGGGACAGCUCUGCCUGGCCUACUGCCCCCCGCGGUUCUUCAACCACACGAGGCUGGUGACCGCCGGGCCUGGGCACACGGCGGCGCCCGCGCUGAGGGUCUGCUCCAGCUGCCAUGCCUCCUGCUACACCUGCCGUGGCGGCUCCCCGAGGGACUGCACCUCCUGUCCCCCAUCCUCCACGCUGGACCAGCAGCAGG
This 476-nucleotide small RNA is filed under the name Pan troglodytes (chimpanzee). RNAcentral describes it as "retained intron". The record is from RNAcentral. Lineage: Eukaryota; Metazoa; Chordata; Mammalia; Primates; Hominidae.